RNAcentral lists this microRNA (24 nucleotides) under Zea mays. RNAcentral describes it as "microRNA miR-3258". The record is from RNAcentral. Lineage: Eukaryota; Viridiplantae; Streptophyta; Magnoliopsida; Poales; Poaceae.
AUAAAACCGGAGGAGAUUGGAGUG